Molecule: ribosomal RNA, 563 nt
Filed under: Physariida sp.
Lineage: Eukaryota; Evosea; Eumycetozoa; Physariida
Description: SSU rRNA
Rfam family: Eukaryotic small subunit ribosomal RNA
Source: RNAcentral
AACCUGGUUGAUCCUGCCAGUAGUGUAUGCUUCUCCUAAAGACUAAGCCAUGCAUGUCUUCGAAUAAGAGGAAGCAAUUCUCUCUGAAUCUGCGAACGGCUCCGCAAACCAGUUGUAAACUAUAGCAAGCAAGCNCAGGGACCCUUCACGGGGUCUUUGGGCAACAUGGAUAACCCUGGUAAUUCUGAGGCUAAUACAAGAACGUAAUACCUGGCCGACCGGGCAACUGGAAGGUUGGGAGACGUGCGAGGUUUUCGCGAGGUUUUACCGGGAAUGGACGCACGUCUGGACCGCGCUAAAAACAGAUGGGGUCCCGCUUCGGUGGGGUCCCGCCUGAGCGGCUCUUGCUGUGUGCUUCUGACCUAUCAACUAGAUGGCAGCGUAAAGGACAUGCUAUGGUGACAACGGGUACAGAGGAUUAGGGUUCGAUCCUGGAGAGUGGGCCUGAGAGAUUGCUCAUACUUCUAAGGAAGGCAGCAGGCGCGCAACGUUCCCCUUGGGCAUUGCUUGAGGGCGUUAGGGGACAUAUGAAUGUUUGCCUAUUAGGUGAACAAUUCAAAUGG